GACGAACGCUGGCGGCAUGCCUAAUACAUGCAAGUCGAGCGAACAGAUGAAGUGCUUGCACUUCUGACGUUAGCGGCGAACGGGUGAGUAACACGUAAGGAAUCUACCUAUAAGCGGGGGAUAACAUUCGGAAACGGGUGCUAAUACCGCAUAAUAUCUUCUUCCGCAUGGAAGAAGAUUGAAAGACGGCUCUGCUGUCACUUAUAGAUGACCUUGCGGUGCAUUAGUUAGUUGGUGGGGUAACGGCCUACCAAGACGAUGAUGCAUAGCCGACCGGGAGGGGUGAUCGGCCACAUUGGGAAUGAGACACGGACCAAACUCCUACGGGAGGCAGCAGUAGGGAAUCUUCCGCAAUGGGCGAAAGCCUGACGGAGCAAUGCCGCGUGAGUGAAGAAGGCCUUCGGGUCGUAAAACUCUGUUAUAAGAGAAGAACAAAUUGUAGAGUAACUGCUACAGUCUUGACGGUAUCUUAUCAGAAAGCCACGGCUAACUACGUGCCAGCCGCCGCCGUAA
Molecule: ribosomal RNA, 513 nt
Filed under: uncultured bacterium
Lineage: Bacteria
Description: partial 16S ribosomal RNA
Rfam family: Bacterial small subunit ribosomal RNA
Source: RNAcentral